CCCUACGGGGUGCAGCAGGCGAUGUCAUUGCUCGUAUUGACUCGACCGACUACCAGGCGGACCUGGCGGCUGCGGAGUCGCGCUACCGGAGCACCAUUAUCAGUCUCGAAACGUCGUCGACGACAGACCUCGCUGCCACAAAGACGCAGCUGGAGAACGCUGUCAAGCAGGCGCAAACGCAGCUGCUGUCAGCACAGAUCAACCUCAGGAAGGGGUCAGAGACGGACCCGGACAGCGAUGCGCAGACGAUCACGAACCUCCAGAACCAGGUGCUCGACGCACAGGACGCGCUGACCACCGCACAGGAGAGC
RNAcentral lists this ribosomal RNA (311 nucleotides) under uncultured prokaryote. RNAcentral's name for it is "partial 16S ribosomal RNA". The record is from RNAcentral.